Long non-coding RNA from Mustela erminea (ermine), 433 nucleotides. RefSeq lists it as uncharacterized. NCBI's taxonomy places the organism in Eukaryota, Metazoa, Chordata, Mammalia, Carnivora, Mustelidae. The transcript has 4 exons. The record is from RefSeq and is a predicted model, not a curated record.
CUCACAGCCAGCUUCUACUGUCUUCUGCCUACUAACCAAGAACCAAGGGAAUUUGGCUACAUUCCUUGUAGUAUUCAGAAAAAAUGAGAAGAAUCCGUAACAAUUCUCAUCACUUUAUACAGUGGGGCAUGUUAAGCCCAUGUGGAGUUUUUAAGGGUGAGCCAGGACUUACAGAGGUGAACACAUGCUUGUGGCAUCAAAUGAGUUCCUGAGGAAGUAAUUAUUCACACGGUGAGGUGCAUGACAAUGAGGAUAGCAGAAUCCACUUUCAACUUGGGAUCUUCCAUCAAUUUUCAUUCUACCUGGGGUGAUCUGCUCCCAGGGAGUCUGAACCAAGAAGUUGUGCCCAUAAAGGGAAAGUAACUAACUAAGAAACUAAUACCUACCUACCUAACUAACUGCCACUCUCGGAGGCUUCUUAUGAGAUUGUCAA